GCCUCCUUAGCUCAGCGGCAGAGCAGCGCCCUUGUAAAGCGCAGGUCGAGGUCUCGGUAUCCUCAGGAGGCU
This 72-nucleotide transfer RNA is filed under the name Enterococcus sp. RNAcentral describes it as "tRNA-Thr". It matches the Rfam family "tRNA". Rfam says of the family: Transfer RNA (tRNA) molecules are approximately 80 nucleotides in length. Their secondary structure includes four short double-helical elements and three loops (D, anti-codon, and T loops). Further hydrogen bonds mediate the characteristic L-shaped molecular structure. tRNAs have two regions of fundamental functional importance: the anti-codon, which is responsible for specific mRNA codon recognition, and the 3' end, to which the tRNAs corresponding amino acid is attached (by aminoacyl-tRNA synthetases). tRNAs cope with the degeneracy of the genetic code in two manners: having more than one tRNA (with a specific anti-codon) for a particular amino acid; and 'wobble' base-pairing, i.e. permitting non-standard base-pairing at the 3rd anti-codon position. Lineage: Bacteria; Bacillati; Bacillota; Bacilli; Lactobacillales; Enterococcaceae. The record is from RNAcentral.